Molecule: long non-coding RNA, 1678 nt
Organism: Hordeum vulgare subsp. vulgare (domesticated barley)
Lineage: Eukaryota; Viridiplantae; Streptophyta; Magnoliopsida; Poales; Poaceae
Exons: 2
Source: RefSeq, a predicted model, not a curated record
GAUAAGGUUUCUAUUUCUUGAAUUUUGAAGAAGGGACCAGAUCCCAACAUAUAACGUGCAGCACUGAUUGCAGUCGCUUCAGUGAAACUUUAUAUCUUCGCUUUAUAUAUAUAUAAGGUGGGGCUGUUCUACAAACACUCUUAAGAAUCUUAUUCUGCUGACACUAAACCUUAUUCUGCUAACAGUUCCGCACUUCAAAAAUUCAUCGCGCGAACCACCGCUCAAACCCACCCCGAGCUUCAUCAACAAAAAAAUACGAGCACCAUCACACGGCCCACCCAUCCCCUCCAAGGCUCCAACCCCUCCUAAUCCACUCCACCUUCUUCCUCCUACCACGAUCUACUCGGAGCCCCACCCCACUACCCACCGCCGGAGCCUCGCCCCACCUAGGGCGGGUUUCUGUGUCCAUCCUUGCCUUCCACCAGUCCUGCCUCGCUCCGCCCCGUGCCUCCCCCACCACCACCUUCUCUUCAUCUCAGCGCCACCUAUCUUCACCAUUUGAUUCUUAGAUCCAUGGUCUCCUACCUCCUCCCCAUGCCACCUCCUCCCAUCACGCCACCACCUCUGGUGCCCCACCGCCCCACUCCCGCGCCCCAACCCCUCUCCCAUCACCAGCACAUCCCACCACCCUCCAACCACCGAAGCCCUGCAGGCCAUGGUGGGAUCUGACCGCCUCGGCCCCGGCGACCACCAUGCAUCGUCCCACCCGCCCCACACACUCAUCAGCGACCACCCCGCACCGCCUAGCUUGCAGCUCAUCCAGCAUCUGUCUACCCCGGAUCUGGUGCGGAUCCGUCGUCGCCAUUGGUGGUUGCUGUACUCUGGUGAUUUGCUCUUCUAGCGCGGAUCCGGGGCUCGUCGCUGUCGGCGGUUGCUGUUCCGACGUGGAUCCAUCGUCGCCCCGGCUAUGUCACACCUCCGGCGACCACGGGCCUCAUGGACACCCACCCCCUUCCCUCGCGUGAUCUCGUCCCUUGUUGAUGGGGAGGACCAAAUCGUGUCGCCUCCCUCCCUCCCCUCACCCCUUUCCCUGGAUCCACAUCACGCUUCUUGUCUCCAAAACGGGCAGCCGAGCUAGUGUCCGCUGGGAGGAGUACAAGGACGGCAACGGCAUCGUUGCUAUCGGACAGCCGGAGUCCUCCUCUUCCCCUUGUUCUCGUCCUUGUCUACAUCCAGGCGUGGCUAUCAGCGGUGGCCAGUGGGAACGUCGCGUGCAGCUCGCCCCACAGGGGCGACAAGUUCGUCCGAUGGGACAAUUAAUACUCGGUGGAAUCCAGUGACACAUGGCAUGCAGUUCACUCACUUCGUCGAGUGAUUCGGUAGGCAUAUUCUUGAAGUGGAGAGAGAUGGAGUCCACAGUAGUUCCCGAGCUAGUAGCAUGCAGUGCGCUACUGCGGUAAAAAAAAUGUCAAUUUGUUUCCCGGAGCUGUACAAUUGAAGUGCACUCGUUUUUAUAUUUUCUUCUGGAAAUAAGAAAUAGAAGAGAAGAUUGUUGUUCAUUUGAAGUUCAUUUUGUUGUUUUAAGAACUACAGGGAGAAUAAAGUAGUAAAAAAUAGAUCAGUUUGGUUAAAAAAAGGCAAUUCGUACUGGAAAACAGUGUAGUAUAUCCUACCUGCCCCCGCAGGUCAUUGUAUUUAUGUUUGAAUGAAGGAAUAAAAUUGCACCUUGCUUAAAAAA